This 83-nucleotide transfer RNA is filed under the name Pseudofrankia coriaricola. RNAcentral describes it as "tRNA-Tyr". It matches the Rfam family "tRNA". From Rfam's summary of the family: Transfer RNA (tRNA) molecules are approximately 80 nucleotides in length. Their secondary structure includes four short double-helical elements and three loops (D, anti-codon, and T loops). The record is from RNAcentral. Lineage: Bacteria; Bacillati; Actinomycetota; Actinomycetes; Frankiales; Frankiaceae.
GCUGGCGCUGGGCACUGGUGAGCCCAACGGCCUGUAAAGCCGCCGCUUCGGCUGUGGGAGUUCAAAUCUCUCCGCCAGCACCG